UACGGAGGGGGCUAGCGUUGUUCGGAAUUACUGGGCGUAAAGCGCGCGUAGGCGGCUUUGUAAGUUAGAGGUGAAAGCCCGGAGCUUAACUCCGGAACUGCCUUUAAGACUGCAUCGCUAGAAUCGUGGAGAGGUGAGUGGAAUUCCGAGUGUAGAGGUGAAAUUCGUAGAUAUUCGGAAGAACACCAGUGGCGAAGGCGGCGACCUGGACAGGUACUGACACUCAACUACGAAAGCGUGGGGAGCAAACAGG
RNAcentral lists this ribosomal RNA (253 nucleotides) under uncultured bacterium. RNAcentral describes it as "partial 16S ribosomal RNA". It matches the Rfam family "Bacterial small subunit ribosomal RNA", at positions 524 to 776 of the family's 1533-position model. The record is from RNAcentral.